GAUGAACGCUGGCGGCGUGCCUAAUACAUGCAAGUCGAGCGAACGGACGAGAAGCUUGCUUCUCUGAUGUUAGCGGCGGACGGGUGAGUAACACGUGGAUAACCUACCUAUAAGACUGGGAUAACUUCGGGAAACCGGAGCUAAUACCGGAUGAUAUUUUGAACCGCAUGGUUCAAAAGUGAAAGACGGUCUUGCUGUCACUUAUAGAUGGAUCCGCGCUGCAUUAGCUAGUUGGUAAGGUAACGGCUUACCAAGGCAACGAUGCAUAGCCGACCUGAGAGGGUGAUCGGCCACACUGGAACUGAGACACGGUCCAGACUCCUACGGGAGGCAGCAGUAGGGAAUCUUCCGCAAAGGGCGAAAGCCUGACGGGGCAACGCCGCGUGAGUGAUGAAGGUCUUCGGAUCGUAAAACUCUGUUAUUAGGGAAGAACAUAUGUGUAAGUAACUGUGCACAUCUUGACGGUACCUAAUCAGAAAGCCACGGCUAACUACGUG
Molecule: ribosomal RNA, 497 nt
Filed under: uncultured bacterium
Lineage: Bacteria
Description: partial 16S ribosomal RNA
Rfam family: Bacterial small subunit ribosomal RNA
Source: RNAcentral